RNAcentral lists this long non-coding RNA (442 nucleotides) under Elaeis guineensis (African oil palm). RNAcentral's name for it is "long non-coding RNA (EGUI_LNC009789)". The record is from RNAcentral. Lineage: Eukaryota; Viridiplantae; Streptophyta; Magnoliopsida; Arecales; Arecaceae.
AUCCCAGCUCUACUAACGACAACCUUGAUUUUUUCUCAACUAAUUUGAUCUAUUUGGAUGUCAAAUCCUUGACAUACAUUCUCCUAAUCUUUGUACCAUAUAUUUGGACCUCUUAUCUUCCUUAAAAGAUUAUACAAACCUAAACUUCCUUCCUAACUCUAAUGAUAUUAACAUCAAUGCCAUCAUUAAUUGACAUGAAAGAGUCUUCUCUCCUUCACAUGCAAUAUCUUAGCCAUUCAUUCACCCUCUAGAUUGUCCAUCCUUAUAAGGAGGGGAAGUCCAAUCAAAUUUCUCCAUCCAGCUCCUUUCCUAAUCCUUAAAUCAAACUAUUCUUGCUAAUCCUAAUAUUUCUUUAUCUCUUCAAAUCUUAGCCUUUUAAAGAAAUAUAACCAAACAAAUAUACAAUCAUCUCUUCAUAACCCUUAGCCAAUAAAACUGCCAC